This 454-nucleotide ribosomal RNA is filed under the name uncultured bacterium. RNAcentral describes it as "partial 16S ribosomal RNA". It matches the Rfam family "Bacterial small subunit ribosomal RNA", at positions 28 to 507 of the family's 1533-position model. The record is from RNAcentral.
GAUGAACGCUGACAGAAUGCUUAACACAUGCAAGUCAACUUGAACUUCGGUUUGGGUGGCGGACGGGUGAGUAACGCGUAAAGAACUUGCCUCACAGAUAGGGACAACAUUUGGAAACGAAUGCUAAUACCUGAUAUUAUGAUUAUAUGGCAUCGUAUAAUUAUGAAAGCUAUAUGCGCUGUGAGAGAGCUUUGCGUCCCAUUAGCUAGUUGGAGAGGUAACGGCUCACCAAGGCGAUGAUGGGUAGCCGGCCUGAGAGGGUGAUCGGCCACAGGGGGACUGAGGCACGGCCCUUACUCCUACGGGAGGCAACAGUGGGGAAUAUUGGACAAUGGACCAAGAGUCUGAUCCAGCAAUUCUGUGUGCACGAUGAAGUUUUUCGGAAUGUAAAGUGCUUUCAGUUGGGAAGAAAAAAAUGACGGUACCAACAGAAGAAGUGACGGCUAAAUACGUG